This 305-nucleotide ribosomal RNA is filed under the name uncultured bacterium. Its description in RNAcentral is "bacterial SSU rRNA". It matches the Rfam family "Bacterial small subunit ribosomal RNA", at positions 335 to 635 of the family's 1533-position model. The record is from RNAcentral.
CCCUACGGGGGCAGCAGUAGGGAAUCUUCCACAAUGGGCGAAAGCCUGAUGGAGCAACGCCGCGUGGGUGAAGAAGGCCUUCGGAUCGUAAAACCCUGUUGUUAGAGAAGAAAGUGCGUGAGAGUAACUGUUCACGUUUCGACGGUAUCUAACCAGAAAACCGCGGCUAACUACGUGCCAGCAGCCGCGGUAAUACGUAGGUGGCAAGCGUUAUCCGGAUUUAUUGGGCGUAAAGGGAACGCAGGCGGUCUUUUAAGUCUGAUGUGAAAGCCUUCGGCUUAACCGGAGUAGUGCAUUGGAAACUG